ACUGUAAUGAAUGUAAUACUAUAAUGAAUGCAAUACUGUAAUGAAUGCAAUUUCAAGUUUUUUUUUGGCUAGCCAGUAUGAAAAGUUAACCUGCUGAUGUUUUAUUUUUCCAUUCUUGCACCAGCUCAAUAAGUUUUUCUUCUGAAGUUAGCAUUUACACUUUCUUUUACUCACUACUUACUGCUCUCCUAAUGCUGUGCUUAAAGAGUCCUAUCUCCAUCCUUGCUAUCUCUGCCACUUAUAAAAUGUAAUUUUAUCUUUACAUACACUAACCUAAAUAAUUUCUGAUGAUUACAUAUUUUUUAACUUUUUGAAUCUUAACAAACCUUGCAACUGAAGUGGCACAGCAACAUGAAUAACAAAUUCUUUGUUACAUAUUUAUUAUAAAAAAUAGACCAGCUGGUUAACAUGGUAUUUAACAUGAAAAUUCUUUAAUUAGAUGUUCAGGUACUUUAGCAAGCUGUUGUGUACCUGCUACAGGGGGAGUGUCUCCUGUGUUCCACAGACCAAGGAACCAGGCAUAGAUUGUCUAAAAUAUGACAGAGAAAUAUCAGGAUCCCAGACUGAGUGCUGUACACUUGUAAACAUAUGCUUACGGCAUGCUCUUUCUUAGUUCAUCAGUAGUACUACAUGUUACUUUAUAUUUCAUUGUAUUUUUGGUUAUGUUUUGGGGGUUAUGUAGGCCAUAAGCCACCAGCAUAACAGUAUGUGCUGCACAUAUGCAAAUAUGUGCUCAAUAAUAACCCACAAGGAGAGAGAAACUCGGGAGAUUGAUUGAUCUGUAUAUUUCGACCCCCUUCUGCUGCUUGAAAUCAGUCUCCUGUGUUUCUGUCUCCAUGUGGGUUAUUAUUGAGCACUGACAAGUGUUCAUUACACUUUAGUUAUUCAUGCAAAUAUAUACUUAGCACUAGACAGUUGAAUAUCAUUUUCAAGUUACAUUAUUAAUAUUGUACUAUGUGAUGUUAUGUUAUGCAGUGUGGCCGGGAAAAUGACCCACUCCCCACCUUCCUACACAAUCACUAUGCUCAAGACUCUCAAAAUGAUGUACCUAUACUAUACUGUACUCUCUUAUAUAUAUAAUGCAAUACUGCAUUACAGGGUAUAAUACUGUUUUUAUUAUAUAUACAGUACAGUAUUGCAUACAGGGUAUAUAUACUGUAUCUAACAUAUAUUUAAAUUUUAUUUAAAGUGAGUGAAAUACUUUUAUAUUAAUACUUGUACAUUACAGUACAAUAUGUAUAUGAAAACAUGGUUAUACAUGUUUGUGUUUUGACUCAAGACCUGGUACUGUGGUGUAGAGUGAGGUGUAGAAGUGUGGAGUGUAGGUGCGGUGGAGUGAGGUGUAGGGGUGCAGAGUGAGGAGUAGGCAAGUAAAGUGAAUUGUAUGGGUGCAGAGUGAGGUGUAGGGGUGCAGAGUGAGGUGUAGAGGUGCAGAGUGAGGUAAAGAAGCUUCCUAUCUCCCCAUCAACAAAAAUUUCCUUUAAAUUACAAGAAAGGCAUCAUGCAAGUCUUAAACAUUUAAGAUCAUUUAAAUGACUACUCAUUGCUUGCUCUAAAAAGUAACAAGUAUACAUAAAAGAGGCUUUUUUUAGUAUGCUUAUGCCAGAGAUGUGUAAAGAAAAUGAAGAGGAAAGAAAAAGCUUACACCAGAUAGGUAAAGAAACCAGAGCAGGAAGACAGCUGCUUACACCAGAGAUAGGUAAAGAAACCAGAGCAGGAAGACAACAGUUUACACCAGAGAUAUGUAAAGCAAGUGAAUCAGGAAAGACAAACAUUAAUAAGAACACAACAUAUAAACAAAAAGAGGAAAAUAGGAAUCUUAGAAGGGUAUACACACAAACAGACAACAUACCACUAAGCAGCUGCAGAACGAGUGAUAUCCAAGAACAAGAUUUUCUGCAGUACAAUGUUCUGUUCUAAGCCCUAUUAACAGUACUAUAGUCCCAAAUAAUGGUCCUUAUAUACAACAUAAAAUUAUCAUUACCCUAUUCUACCACUUCUCAAUAUAUUUAUCAUUCUCUUGUAUCUACCUGUCCUGUACUAUCUUUUCAUAAUCCAAUUAAUUUGCCUGAAUACACAUGGAGGUACAGUACAAUGGGCGCAAAAUAUGUAAACUUAAGUGAUGUCAGAAAAUAUCCACUGGUCUAUCAUUGUAUAGCGAAUAAUGUUGAAAGUUUCUCUCAUGUGCUACUGUGCUUGGGGUUUGCAGAAAUUUAGGUAUGGUCAAUUAACCCUUUGAGGGUCAAGAGGCCCUCUCCCAAACCCGUUCUCAGGGUCGGAAAAAAGAAAAGAAAAAAAAAAAUGAAUGAUUUUUUCUUACGAAA
Molecule: non-coding RNA, 2324 nt
Organism: Cherax quadricarinatus
Lineage: Eukaryota; Metazoa; Arthropoda; Malacostraca; Decapoda; Parastacidae
Source: RefSeq, a predicted model, not a curated record